RNAcentral lists this ribosomal RNA (628 nucleotides) under Bacillus siamensis. Its description in RNAcentral is "bacterial SSU rRNA". It matches the Rfam family "Bacterial small subunit ribosomal RNA", at positions 170 to 783 of the family's 1533-position model. The record is from RNAcentral. Lineage: Bacteria; Bacillati; Bacillota; Bacilli; Caryophanales; Bacillaceae.
CGGAUGGUUGUUUGAACCGCAUGGUUCAGACAUAAAAGGUGGCUUCGGCUACCACUUACAGAUGGACCCGCGGCGCAUUAGCUAGUUGGUGAGGUAACGGCUCACCAAGGCGACGAUGCGUAGCCGACCUGAGAGGGUGAUCGGCCACACUGGGACUGAGACACGGCCCAGACUCCUACGGGAGGCAGCAGUAGGGAAUCUUCCGCAAUGGACGAAAGUCUGACGGAGCAACGCCGCGUGAGUGAUGAAGGUUUUCGGAUCGUAAAGCUCUGUUGUUAGGGAAGAACAAGUGCCGUUCAAAUAGGGCGGCACCUUGACGGUACCUAACCAGAAAGCCACGGCUAACUACGUGCCAGCAGCCGCGGUAAUACGUAGGUGGCAAGCGUUGUCCGGAAUUAUUGGGCGUAAAGGGCUCGCAGGCGGUUUCUUAAGUCUGAUGUGAAAGCCCCCGGCUCAACCGGGGAGGGUCAUUGGAAACUGGGGAACUUGAGUGCAGAAGAGGAGAGUGGAAUUCCACGUGUAGCGGUGAAAUGCGUAGAGAUGUGGAGGAACACCAGUGGCGAAGGCGACUCUCUGGUCUGUAACUGACGCUGAGGAGCGAAAGCGUGGGGAGCGAACAGGAUUAGAU